UGAGGUAAUUAUCUGACUUGCUAACCCCCUCGAUCCAACUUCUUGAAAUGUAUCUAUUUGCAUUCUCACUAUAAGUUUUCUCUAGUUUGUUUUGAUCAAUUGGCUUUCUCCCCUUUUUGUGAGUUUGAUUAGUUAGGAAUAUGCUUGCCUCUCACUGUGUAUAAUUGAUAAAGGCUGAUAGAUAAAGGCUAUCUACGCCUGUUUCUCUUCAUGACUCCUUUGAUUCUUUGUUGGCUGUUUUAGCCUAUAGUCGUUGGCCAAAGGGUUCUGUCAUCAUAGGACUUACCUCUACAGUACUACUUAUGCUCUGGUCUGGUAGGCUCUCAUUAUAUGCAUGUGGUUUACGUUUUAUUAGUACUAAAGAAGCUCUGUUGCUUAGGCAUUAG
This 386-nucleotide long non-coding RNA is filed under the name Rosa chinensis. RNAcentral's name for it is "sRNA RchiOBHm_Chr2g0126161". Lineage: Eukaryota; Viridiplantae; Streptophyta; Magnoliopsida; Rosales; Rosaceae. The record is from RNAcentral.